Molecule: long non-coding RNA, 404 nt
Filed under: Lotus japonicus
Lineage: Eukaryota; Viridiplantae; Streptophyta; Magnoliopsida; Fabales; Fabaceae
Description: long non-coding RNA (LJAP_LNC000270)
Source: RNAcentral
UUGCCACCAAAAAGCUUUUUCCAUCACCCCAAGUUUCCCAAAUUGCCCCCACUACCUCCAAAAAGCUUCUUCCAUCACCCCAAGUUAGGAAAAUUGCCUCCACUACCUCCAAUAAAGUUUUUCCACCACCCCAAGUAUGGAAAAUUGCCUCCACUACCUCACAAAAGCUUCUUCCAUCACCCCAAGUUUGGGAAAUUACCUCCACUGCCUCCAACAAAGUUUUUCCAUCACCCUAAGUUUGGCAAAUUGCCUCCACUACCACCUGUUUAAUAAUCCUCUUUCUUAGAAGAUAUUGCUGAGCUACAAUAUUAUGGCUCUUUGUUUUACACAAAAUAUAUGUGCAUGCAUGUUUUCUGUUUUCCUUUUUUUGCUUUCCUAUCAUCAAGGACUUAGGAAACUUAUUA